AGAUACUUUGCAUUUUCAGCUCAUGCCUCAGUGCUCUGGGAGGGUUUAUAUUCCAGGAGGUUUAACACUUCAUGACUGACAGCUGCCCUUCAUCACAACAGACUCCAGUCAAACAUGACUUUGAUCAGCCUCAGCAUCUUGCUCUUCAUCCUCACUCACGAAUCCAGAGGACAGGUGACUGUCACUCAGACUCCUGAGGUGAAAUCAGCUUCCUCAGGACAGACAGUCACUAUAAACUGUAAAACCAACAGCCCAGUAAAUGGUGCUGGAGGCUCUUAUCCUCGCAUGGCCUGGUACCAACAGAAAUCAGGAGAAGCUCCUAAACUCUUGAUCUAUUAUGCAAGUACCAUUAACUCUGGGACUCCGUCGCGAUUCAGUGGCAGCGGAUCCAGUACUGACUUCACUCUGACUAUCAGUGGAGUCCAGGCUGAAGAUGCAGGAGAUAAUUACUGUCAGAGUUUCCACUACCUCAAUAAUAAACAUCUGUUCACACAGUGAUACAGAGCUGUACAA
Paramormyrops kingsleyae is the source of this 513-nucleotide non-coding RNA. Lineage: Eukaryota; Metazoa; Chordata; Actinopteri; Osteoglossiformes; Mormyridae. The record is from the annotation of a RefSeq genome assembly.